Molecule: long non-coding RNA, 923 nt
Filed under: Serinus canaria (Common canary)
Lineage: Eukaryota; Metazoa; Chordata; Aves; Passeriformes; Fringillidae
Description: lncRNA (ENSSCAG00000001951.1)
Source: RNAcentral
CAUCCACGAUGUCCCAACAAGGCCCAGGACUCCUCAGAAGGGCCUUGGGCCACCACUCAUGUCCCCAGAGGUCCCUGUUCCCAGAUGAGCCUUGCUCUCCCUCCCAGAAGGUGCCCCCAGGUCCCUGGGCCACCAGGAUGUCCCCAUGAAACCCUGGCGCUGUCCCCAAAGGCCCAUCCAGGAUGUCCCCCACCCUCACAAGGCCCUGGAUGCCACAGGACGGCCCCAGGUGCAUCCAGGCCCAGCCAGGUGAGCCCCAGAGAUCCCAGUUCCAUCCAGGGUGUCCCCAUGGUGACCUGGACCCUGCACAAGGUCCAGCCAGGUGACCCUGGGAGGUGCCAGGUCCAUCCAGGAUGUUCCUGGACCCCUCAGAAGGUCCAUCCGGGCCGUGCCCACCAAGGCCUGCAGAGCGCUCCAGCUCCCUCCAGGUGAUGCCCAGAUCCACCCAGGAGCCCCCGGCACUCCCCAGGUCCGUCCCGGUGCUCCCGUGUCCCCCCGUGGGCGUCCCCACCGUGUCCGUGGCUCAGAGCCGGAGCUCCGUGGCCACCUCAGAGGCACUCCCGGGUCACCGCUGCCAGGCCACCGUGUCCGUGGCUCGCAGCCAGAGCGCCGAGGUGGCCGUGACUGUUGUCCCCAAGAGCCGCAGCUCGGUGGCCAUUCCCGGGUCACCGUGUCCCCAAGAGCCGCAGCUCAGUGGCCAUUCCCGGGUCACCGUGUCCCCAAGAGCCGCAGCUCGGUGGCCAUUCCCGGGUCACCGUGUCCCCAAGAGCCGCAGCUCGCUGGCCGCUCCCGGCUCGCCGUGUCCGUGUCCCCGGAGCCGCCCCCGGGUGCCCCCCGCCGUCCCGGCCGUGGCUCAGAGCUUGAGCUCGUUGGCCACCUUGGAGGCGAUGUUCUUGAAGGCCAUGGAGGUGCCGGCGAUGCGC